Molecule: unclassified non-coding RNA, 313 nt
Filed under: fungal sp.
Lineage: Eukaryota; Fungi
Description: partial internal transcribed spacer region
Source: RNAcentral
AAGUCGUAACAAGGUUUCCGUAGGUGAAGGAAUUGUAGUGAUUCAGAGACCUCUGGCUACGUGCGAACAUUGGAACAGUUACAAUCGAGCGGUAGUUCUAUAGGCAAUGUUUCCCCAAGCAGUCAGUGUCGGAAAGUGUCAUUGAUUGUGCAAGGAUAGCGCUUCUACGAUUCCUGUAGACCGUACACUCGGGCAGGAGCUUUGCCAAAGGGUCCCCAUGCCCCCUAAUAACCCCACAGUUUAAUGUGAAGCUCAAUGUAAUACAUUGGGUAAAAAAACCGAACAACUGUUAACAAUGGAUAUCUUGGUUCUC